This 771-nucleotide ribosomal RNA is filed under the name uncultured Chloroflexota bacterium. RNAcentral's name for it is "bacterial SSU rRNA". It matches the Rfam family "Bacterial small subunit ribosomal RNA", at positions 9 to 795 of the family's 1533-position model. The record is from RNAcentral. Lineage: Bacteria; Bacillati; Chloroflexota.
GAGUUUGAUUAUGGCUCAGGAUGAACGCUGGCGGCGUGCCUAAUACAUGCAAGUCGAACGGGAGGCUUGGAGCAAUCUAAGCCGAGAGUGGCGCACGGGUGAGUAACACAUGGCUGACCUGCCCUCCAGAGGGGGAUAACGGUUGGAAACGGCCGCUAAUACCCCAUACGCUCCCUGGGGUUAGAGGACCGGGGAGGAAAGCGGUAGUGCUGGAGGAGGGGGCUGUGGCCCAUCAGCUAGUUGGUAGGGUAAAGGCCUACCAAGGCGACGACGGGUAGGGGGCCUGAGAGGGUGACCCCCCACACUGGGACUGAGACACGGCCCAGACUCCUACGGGAGGCAGCAGUAAGGGAUCUUGCGACAAUGGGCGAAAGCCUGACGCAGCAACGCCGCGUGCGGGAUGACGGCCUUCGGGUUGUAAACCGCUUUUCGGGGGGAAGAGGGAGGACGGUACCCUCGGAAUAAGUCUCGGCUAACUACGUGCCAGCAGCCGCGGUAAAACGUAGGAGGCGAGCGUUAUCCGGAUUUACUGGGUGUAAAGCGCGUGCAGGCGGUCGUGUAAGUGGUGCGUGAAAGCUCCCGGCUCAACCGGGAGAGGACGUGCCAAACUGCAGGGCUAGAGGCAGGUAGAGGCGUGUGGAAUUCCGGGUGUAGUGGUGAAAUGCGUAGAGAUCCGGAGGAACACCAGUGGCGAAGGCGACACGCUGGGCCUGGCCUGACGCUCAGACGCGAAAGCAUGGGGAGCGAACGGGAUUAGAUACCCUGGUAGUC